Molecule: ribosomal RNA, 427 nt
Filed under: uncultured Pseudomonas sp.
Lineage: Bacteria; Pseudomonadati; Pseudomonadota; Gammaproteobacteria; Pseudomonadales; Pseudomonadaceae
Description: bacterial SSU rRNA
Rfam family: Bacterial small subunit ribosomal RNA
Source: RNAcentral
UGGGGAAUAUUGGACAAUGGGCGAAAGCCUGAUCCAGCCAUGCCGCGUGUGUGAAGAAGGUCUUCGGAUUGUAAAGCACUUUAAGUUGGGAGGAAGGGCAGUAAGCGAAUACCUUGCUGUUUUGACGUUACCGACAGAAUAAGCACCGGCUAACUCUGUGCCAGCAGCCGCGGUAAUACAGAGGGUGCAAGCGUUAAUCGGAAUUACUGGGCGUAAAGCGCGCGUAGGUGGUUUGUUAAGUUGGAUGUGAAAGCCCCGGGCUCAACCUGGGAACUGCAUUCAAAACUGACAAGCUAGAGUAUGGUAGAGGGUGGUGGAAUUUCCUGUGUAGCGGUGAAAUGCGUAGAUAUAGGAAGGAACACCAGUGGCGAAGGCGACCACCUGGACUGAUACUGACACUGAGGUGCGAAAGCGUGGGGAGCAAACA